AGGCUUUUCCAGAUUCUGAGCAGGAGCGGGGGAAAGAACUUUCAAUCCAGGGCCGCUUGUGCCAGCAGCUUAAAAAAGGAGUGGCCGCCCUGGGGGUGCCAGUGGCCCUCUGUUGUAUUAUGAGGAGGUGAGGGAGAUGCCCACCUUCUCCAUCUGCACCAUAGGCCUGGGGACAUGGCAGGACAACGGUCUCUGGCCCCUAUCGGAAGCAGGAUUGAUUACUGGGCAAAGCUGUCUCUUUGAUGAAAAGUGGAAGACUUAUCAAGGGCAAAGGAACACCAGGCAUGAGCAGAACAAGAACCGAGAUCCAGACCACAGGGUAGCACUGUUUGCUAGUCCAUAGCGAGACCUGGGGUUUGACCAUCCAAGCCAUCUUUCCGCCAUCUUUAAUUUGUAUCUUUUAACAUGAAUGCAAAGUUAUGUUAA
Molecule: long non-coding RNA, 426 nt
Organism: Pogona vitticeps (central bearded dragon)
Lineage: Eukaryota; Metazoa; Chordata; Lepidosauria; Squamata; Agamidae
Source: RefSeq, a predicted model, not a curated record